GCAAGUCGAGCGCGCCCUUCGGGGAGCGGCGGACGGGUGAGUAACACGUGGAUUACCUACCUCGAGGCGGGGGAUAACCCGGGGAAACCCGGGCUAAUACCGCGUAUGGCCUACGGGUCAAAGACUUCGGUCGCCUUGAGAUGGGUCCGCGGCCCAUUAUUUAAUCCUGGUUGGUGGGGUAACGGCCUACCAAGGGUACGAUGGGUAGCUGGUCUGAGAGGACGAUC
RNAcentral lists this ribosomal RNA (227 nucleotides) under uncultured bacterium. Its description in RNAcentral is "partial 16S ribosomal RNA". It matches the Rfam family "Bacterial small subunit ribosomal RNA", at positions 57 to 305 of the family's 1533-position model. The record is from RNAcentral.